GAUGAAGAACGUAGCGAAAUGCGAUAAGUAAUGUGAAUUGCAGAAUUCAGUGAAUCAUCGAAUCUUUGAACGCACAUUGCGCCCGCCAGUAUUCUGGCGGGCAUGCCUGUUCGAGCGUCAUUUCAACCAUCAAGCCCCAGGCUUGUGUUGGGGACCUGCGGCUGCCGCAGGCCCUGAAAACCAGUGGCGGGCUCGCUGUCACACCGGGCGUAGUAGAUUUUAUCUCGCUCAGGGCGUGCUGCGGGUUCCGGCCGUUAAAAAGCCUUUUUUACCCAAGGUUGACCUCGGAUCAGGUAGGACUACCCGCUGAACUUAAGCAUAUCAAUAAGCGGAGGA
RNAcentral lists this unclassified non-coding RNA (336 nucleotides) under soil metagenome. RNAcentral describes it as "partial contains 5.8S ribosomal RNA, internal transcribed spacer 2, and large subunit ribosomal RNA". The stretch from base 1 to 120 matches the Rfam family "5.8S ribosomal RNA", at positions 35 to 154 of the family's 154-position model. The record is from RNAcentral.